This is a long non-coding RNA of Oreochromis niloticus (Nile tilapia), 1996 nucleotides long. RefSeq lists it as uncharacterized. The record is from RefSeq and is a predicted model, not a curated record. Lineage: Eukaryota; Metazoa; Chordata; Actinopteri; Cichliformes; Cichlidae. The transcript is spliced from 3 exons.
UUGUGUUUACUGAAAGAGCUCACAUGAUUUUGAUGAAUAGUGUUUUAAAACAGAAGCAUGUGAACUUUAUUUCGAUCAGGAGGUGCAGUGUGAGCGUGUCGUCAGUUUGUCAUGUAUCUAGACGAUUGUAUUUACUUUGUCAAGAAAAAAGAAAAAUCUGGCAUCGGCACUGAAAUCUUAAGCAACCAGCACGCCCAUGGAGUUGGCUUUGGAAGGCGAUAAGCAUUCCUGCUCCACUCCAUAUUAGCCCCUAGUUCUCGUGUGUUGGGCAGCCUGCCAGGUAGAGGUUGCUAUGGCUUCUAACACCGCCCUUUACACUGGCUAACCCCCCACCCCCUCCCAGAAGGUGCCAGAUUUUGGGAGGGGGCAGGCCACGCUUUGAUUUAGACAAAAGAUGUCUUUACAGUGUCAGCAGAAUACUAACUGGGAAUGCUGUGGCUUUCUGGUAGGAAAUCAUGUGAUCUUUCCAGCCAAGGUUUUGUGAUGGUGCCAGGCGAGGCAGAGGGAGAGAGAGACACACACACGGAGGGAGAAAAGGGGAAAACUUUGAAUAAUGAUGCCAGCAAAUCAUUUUUAUACAAUUUUUUUUCUUCUACUUUGUUUCGGAGAAAAUGGCGGACAGCACAUCGCUGAACUGAAGCCGUGUUGUCAGUGAGCUCAGUUUAGAAGUGUCCCUCGGUCUUUUCAUCAUUCCUUCGUUUAGCAAAGUAAUAAACCAACGGUCAUAGCACCCACUGCGCAUAGCUCACACCCAAGUAGAAAGUGUGGAUACAGAAAGAUAGAAACAUAAAGUGUGAGAGAAUAGUAGAGACGUAGAAAAUAAAAUGGCCACCCUAGCGAACCCACUGGCCCAGCGACCCAUCCGCAGAGCAAGAUGCAGCCACGAUGGGAGCCCCGGCAAUUGUCUGCCGUUCUCCGUGCUUUAAGGUAAGACAGAUACCACUUGCAUCUGCAACACAAUCAACAAAAUCCUUACUUUUCUAGUCUUAUUCAGUCUGAUCCAUUAUGCCAGCAGACAGCAGCAGAUGAGAGUUUAGUUGUGUGACUGCCUUGUUUUGCUUGCAGUAGACGAGUGAGUCAGUAAAAGUGUCAGACCGCCGUAACAGACGGCCUGCGCGAGAUAAUUAGCCCAGAGUCAUUUGGAAGGCGCUCAGCUCUGCCCAGGUGCCCACUCCGCUCAGAAAGAGACCAGACGACCUUUUACUCAGCUCCGUCCCACUGCAGUCACUUAAAACAGUGAUGGAUGUUUCCCUUUACUCCCUGCUCCCUACUGGCUCUCAUUCUCCUUUCCUCUUCACCCGUCCCUCUCCCAUGUCACCAUUUCCCUCACUUCUGUCCUCUGCUUGCAGCACCUUGUUUGUCCCUUCUCUUCUCCUUGUUUUUCUACCCUCGUCUGCCUCUUACAGCUCCCAUUCUCUCUGUUCUUCCAAAGUGAUGAGAGGGAAGAGGAGGAAGAAAGGUGUGGAGAAAAAGGGGAAGAGGGGGGAUUUAAAGUGAAGUGGUGAAGGAGGCUUUUUUUUCCCCUGUCUAUUUUUUUUUAAUCCUGCCAGUUUGAGAAGAGCAGACUCGAGCCCCGCACCCCAUCGGCUCCUCAUUAGUAUGCACCGGCUGUCGCUCAGGUGACAUGGCCACUGGAUUCCAUCCCAACUGCAGGAACAUGAGCGGCACGGUGGAGAGUGGGAUAGCAGGUAAGGACAAUGAGAACGGAACGGCGGGGAGGAAAGGAGAAGAAGAAGGUGGUGGGAUGGGGACAUGGACUUGUAUACACUGUUGUAAUCCAAAUCCAGCUUCUUUAAUUAAAGCGUCUACCGCUGUGAGCUGAGCCGUGCAAGUUAAGUCAUCGUUUGUAAAGCACAUCCACGCAGUUUUACUCGUUAAUGAAAUAUCCCGCACUUCUCUGUACACAGUUUGAACAAUUCAUGAAUUCAUGAGCAUUAAAUGUAAAUGCUGGAGCGUCUGCUCUUCUGCUGAUUUUAAUAAACACCUCUGUUGAUUA